RNAcentral lists this ribosomal RNA (253 nucleotides) under uncultured bacterium. RNAcentral describes it as "partial 16S ribosomal RNA". It matches the Rfam family "Bacterial small subunit ribosomal RNA", at positions 524 to 776 of the family's 1533-position model. The record is from RNAcentral.
CACGUAGGGCGCAAGCGUUGUCCGGAAUUAUUGGGCGUAAAGAGCUCGUAGGCGGUCUGUUACGUCUGCUGUGAAAGCCCAGGGCUCAACCCUGGAAGUGCACAUGAUACUACGUGGCUGGAGUACUGAAGAGGAGAGCGGAAUUCCCGGUGUAGAGGUGAAAUUCGUAGAUAUCGGGAGGAACACCAGUGGCGAAGGCGGCUCUCUGGGCAGAUACUGACGCUGAGACGCGAAAGCGUGGGUAGCAAACAGG